UACGGGAGGCAGCAGUGAGGAAUAUUGGGCAAUGGAGGCAACUCUGACCCAGCCAUGCCGCGUGGAGGAUGACACAUUUCGGUGCGUAAACUCCUUUUAUAUGGGAAGAUAAUGACGGUAGCAUAUGAAUAAGCACCGGCUAACUCCGUGCCAGCAGCCGCGGUAAUACGGAGGGUGCAAGCGUUAUUCGGAAUCACUGGGCGUAAAGGACACGUAGGCGGGAAGCCAAGUCUGAUGUGAAAUCCUACAGCUUAACUGUAGAACUGCAUUGGAAACUGGUUACCUAGAGUAUGGGAGGGGGAGAUGGAAUUAGUGGUGUAGGGGUAAAAUCCGUAGAUAUCACUAGGAAUACCUAAAGCGAAGGCGAUCUCCUGGAACAAUACUGACGCUAAGGUGUGAAAGCGUGGGGAGCAAACGGGAUUAGAUACCCCGGUAGUCCACGCCCUAAACGAUGUUCACUAGUCGUCGGGAUGCUAGUCAUCUCGGUGAU
This 490-nucleotide ribosomal RNA is filed under the name uncultured bacterium. Its description in RNAcentral is "bacterial SSU rRNA". It matches the Rfam family "Bacterial small subunit ribosomal RNA", at positions 340 to 847 of the family's 1533-position model. The record is from RNAcentral.